Molecule: ribosomal RNA, 395 nt
Filed under: Staphylococcus aureus
Lineage: Bacteria; Bacillati; Bacillota; Bacilli; Caryophanales; Staphylococcaceae
Description: partial 23S ribosomal RNA
Rfam family: Bacterial large subunit ribosomal RNA
Source: RNAcentral
UUUGUAGAAUGAACCGGCGAGUUACGAUUUGAUGCAAGGUUAAGCAGUAAAUGUGGAGCCGUAGCGAAAGCGAGUCUGAAUAGGGCGUUUAGUAUUUGGUCGUAGACCCGAAACCAGGUGAUCUACCCUUGGUCAGGUUGAAGUUCAGGUAACACUGAAUGGAGGACCGAACCGACUUACGUUGAAAAGUGAGCGGAUGAACUGAGGGUAGCGGAGAAAUUCCAAUCGAACCUGGAGAUAGCUGGUUCUCUCCGAAAUAGCUUUAGGGCUAGCCUCAAGUGAUGAUUAUUGGAGGUAGAGCACUGUUUGGACGAGGGGCCCCUCUCGGGUUACCGAAUUCAGACAAACUCCGAAUGCCAAUUAAUUUAACUUGGGAGUCAGAACAUGGGUGAUAA